CGCGCCUGCAAUACCCGUUACAACGAAAUAUGUGUUUCUGUAACUGGCUUUGCCCUCUUGAUUGAGGGCUUUUUUAUGACGG
RNAcentral lists this small RNA (82 nucleotides) under Salmonella enterica subsp. arizonae serovar 62:z4,z23:-. RNAcentral describes it as "Salmonella enterica subsp. arizonae serovar 62:z4,z23:-- Salmonella enterica sRNA STnc280". It matches the Rfam family "Salmonella enterica sRNA STnc280". RNAcentral also lists the same sequence under 1 other name. The record is from Rfam by way of RNAcentral. Lineage: Bacteria; Pseudomonadati; Pseudomonadota; Gammaproteobacteria; Enterobacterales; Enterobacteriaceae.